AAGGGAAGAGCAAGGCUAACUUGGGGUGAGCCUAACUGGCAGAAGCCAGAGGGCUGACUUCACGUGUUCAGUGCAAAAGGACAAGCUUCUGUGUUGCUGUUGCUGACCUCCACCAAGGGCUUGUCAAUGCCAGGGCUGACCUUCAACGCUAACAAAGAAGUAAAGCUGAAUGCGGGAAGAUUCCCAAGGGUCCGCUAACUUGGACGAUUUCUGGACAUAUCUACCGUGCAUCCUGUUAUGAUGGGACUGAAUCAGUAUGUGAGACCCAGAAUGAUUGGAACUACUGAGCACCUGGCUGGCCCCCUUACUUCCCUGUGAAUUCCAAGAGGAAACCUCCAUCACGUAAGGAGCUGCCUCCUGCCUCCACAGUAAGCUCCUGCCAGUUUGGGCCACAAUCCCUCUUCUUUCCCUAGUUAACAUUGCAGAACAUCUCUGUGAACUACAAUGCCAUAGCCAGAGUUUAAAUGGAGUUUAAAUUCCACAAGGAGAUUAUCAGAAAAUGGAGCAGCUGAAUGACUGAAACUAAUUCAGUGGUUUUAUGAAAUUUGGGACAUUGUUUAGCAGCCCCUACAGCCAUUCUGGAUCACAGUAGUUUGAAUGCCAUGCCUGCCUCUCAAGGUUACAAAGGCUGCUUUGAAAGCCACCACAGGCCAGCUUCUUGUGUGAGCCUGUAGAUUCAGGAGGUCUACCUGAAAUGCCUCAAGGAACACUUGGCAUGGGAUGCAUCUUCAUUUCAAGCAUAACCAGUCCACUGCUGACAUGAAUUCAGUGACCCAAAGUUAUUAAAUCCAAGUCUGGUGUGUGAA
Molecule: long non-coding RNA, 806 nt
Organism: Suricata suricatta (meerkat)
Lineage: Eukaryota; Metazoa; Chordata; Mammalia; Carnivora; Herpestidae
Exons: 5
Source: RefSeq, a predicted model, not a curated record